UGGGUUGUAUUUAAUUAUAAUAUCUGAUUUGCAUUCAGAAGGUACUCAAUGAGUCUUCCUAG
Molecule: transfer RNA, 62 nt
Filed under: Empoascanara dwalata
Lineage: Eukaryota; Metazoa; Arthropoda; Insecta; Hemiptera; Cicadellidae
Description: tRNA-Ala
Source: RNAcentral